RNAcentral lists this ribosomal RNA (324 nucleotides) under uncultured bacterium. RNAcentral describes it as "bacterial SSU rRNA". It matches the Rfam family "Bacterial small subunit ribosomal RNA", at positions 28 to 334 of the family's 1533-position model. The record is from RNAcentral.
GAUGAACGCUGGCGGCGUGCCUAACACAUGCAAGUCGAGCGAAACACUUAGGUCCGAUUCUUCGGAUGAAGACCUAUUUGAUUGAGCGGCGGACGGGUGAGUAACGCGUGGGUAACCUGCCUCAUACAGGGGGAUAGCAGUUGGAAACGACUGAUAAUACCGCAUAAGCGCACAGCAUCGCAUGAUGCAGUGUAAAAAACUCCGGUGGUAUGAGAUGGACCCGCGUCUGAUUAGCUAGUUGGUGGGGUAAAAGCCUACCAAGGCGACGAUCAGUAGCCGGCCUGAGAGGGUGAACGGCCACAUUGGGACUGAGACACGGCCCAA